AUUGAACGCUGGCGGUAUGCUUAACACAUGCAAGUCGAACGGCAGCAUGGUCUAGCUUGCUAGACUGAUGGCGAGUGGCGAACGGGUGAGUAACGCGUAGGAAUAUGCCUUAAAGUGGGGGACAACUUGGGGAAACUCAAGCUAAUACCGCAUAAUUUCUUCGGAAAAAGCUAGGGACCUCUUGGCCUGGCGCUUUAAGA
Molecule: ribosomal RNA, 200 nt
Filed under: uncultured bacterium
Lineage: Bacteria
Description: partial 16S ribosomal RNA
Rfam family: Bacterial small subunit ribosomal RNA
Source: RNAcentral